CCUACGGGAGGCAGCAGUGAGGAAUAUUGGUCAAUGGUCGGGAGACUGAACCAGCCAAGCCGCGUGAGGGAUGAAGGUACAGAGUAUCGUAAACCUCUUUUGUCAGGGAACAAAGGCGGGGACGCGUCCCCGGAUGAGUGUACCUGAAGAAAAAGCAUCGGCUAACUCCGUGCCAGCAGCCGCGGUAAUACGGAGGAUGCGAGCGUUAUCCGGAUUUAUUGGGUUUAAAGGGUGCGCAGGCGGUCUGUUAAGUAAGCGGUAAAAGCCCGGGGCUCAACCCCGGCCCGCCGUUGAGACUGGCAGUCUCGAGUUGGAGAGAAGUAUGCGGAAUGCGCGGUGUAGCGGUGAAAUGCAUAGAUAUCGCGCAGAACUCCGAUUGCGAAGGCAGCAUGCCGGCUCCACACUGACGCUGAGGCACGAAAGCGUGGGUAUCGAACAGGAUUAGAUACCCCAGUAGUC
RNAcentral lists this ribosomal RNA (459 nucleotides) under uncultured bacterium. Its description in RNAcentral is "partial 16S ribosomal RNA". It matches the Rfam family "Bacterial small subunit ribosomal RNA", at positions 338 to 795 of the family's 1533-position model. The record is from RNAcentral.